Molecule: transfer RNA, 68 nt
Filed under: Marilutibacter spongiae
Lineage: Bacteria; Pseudomonadati; Pseudomonadota; Gammaproteobacteria; Lysobacterales; Lysobacteraceae
Description: Lysobacter spongiae tRNA-Gln
Rfam family: tRNA
About the family: Transfer RNA (tRNA) molecules are approximately 80 nucleotides in length.
Source: RNAcentral
UGGAUAGCUCAGCUGGGUAGAGCACCGGAUCCUGGAUCCGGCUGUCGCGGGUUCGAGUCCCGCUCCAA